ACCGGCGAUACCCGAAUGGGGAAACCCAGUGUGAUUCGUCACACUAUCAUUAACUGAAUCCAUAGGUUAAUGAGGCGAACCGGGGGAACUGAAACAUCUAAGUACCCCGAGGAAAAGAAAUCAACCGAGAUUCCCCCAGUAGCGGCGAGCGAACGGGGAGGAGCCCAGAGCCUGAAUCAGCAUGUGUGUUAGUGGAAGCGUCUGGAAAGGCGCGCGAUACAGGGUGACAGCCCCGUACACAAAAGCGCAUGUGCUGUGAGCUCGAUGAGUAGGGCGGGACACGUGGUAUCCUGUCUGAAUAUGGGGGGACCAUCCUCCAAGGCUAAAUACUCCUGACUGACCGAUAGUGAACCAGUACCGUGAGGGAAAGGCGAAAAGAACCCCGGCGAGGGGAGUGAAAAAGAACCUGAAACCGUGUACGUACAAGCAGUGGGAGCACCCUUUGGGUGUGACUGCGUACCUUUUGUAUAAUGGGUCAGCGACUUAUAUUCUGUAGCAAGGUUAACCGAAUAGGGGAGCCGGAGGGAAACCGAGUCUUAACCGGGCGUUAAGUUGCAGGGUAUAGACCCGAAACCCGGUGAUCUAGCCAUGGGCAGGUUGAAGGUUGGGUAACACUAACUGGAGGACCGAACCGACUAAUGUUGAAAAAUUAGCGGAUGACCUGUGGCUGGGGGUGAAAGGCCAAUCAAACCGGGAGAUAGCUGGUUCUCCCCGAAAGCUAUUUAGGUAGCGCCUCGUGAAUUCAUCUCCGGGGGUAGAGCACUGUUUCGGCUAGGGGGCCAUCCCGGCUUACCAACCCGAUGCAAACUGCGAAUACCGGAGAAUGUUAUCACGGGAGACACACGGCGGGUGCUAACGUCCGUCGUGAAGAGGGAAACAACCCAGACCGCCAGCUAAGGUCCCAAAGUCAUGGUUAAGUGGGAAACGAUGUGGGAAGGCCCAGACAGCCAGGAUGUUGGCUUAGAAGCAGCCAUCAUUUAAAGAAAGCGUAAUAGCUCACUGGUCGAGUCGGCCUGCGCGGAAGAUGUAACGGGGCUAAACCAUGCACCGAAGCUGCGGCAGCGACACUGUGUGUUGUUGGGUAGGGGAGCGUUCUGUAAGCCUGUGAAGGUGUGUCGUGAGGCAUGCUGGAGGUAUCAGAAGUGCGAAUGCUGACAUA
This 1159-nucleotide ribosomal RNA is filed under the name Salmonella enterica subsp. enterica serovar Enteritidis. RNAcentral describes it as "partial 23S ribosomal RNA". It matches the Rfam family "Bacterial large subunit ribosomal RNA", at positions 103 to 1304 of the family's 2925-position model. Lineage: Bacteria; Pseudomonadati; Pseudomonadota; Gammaproteobacteria; Enterobacterales; Enterobacteriaceae. The record is from RNAcentral.